GCAAGUCGAACGAGAAAGCACUUUCGGGUGUGAGUAUAGUGGCGCACGGGUGAGUAACGCGUGGGUAACUACCUAGUAGUGGGGGAUAACAGUUGGAAACGACUGCUAAUACCGCAUAAUCCCUUCGGGGGAAAGAUUUAUCGCUACUAGAUGUGCCCGCGUUAGAUUAGUUAGUUGGUGGGGUAAAGGCCUACCAAGGCGACGAUCUGUAGCUGGUUUGAGAGAAUGAUC
RNAcentral lists this ribosomal RNA (231 nucleotides) under uncultured bacterium. RNAcentral's name for it is "partial 16S ribosomal RNA". It matches the Rfam family "Bacterial small subunit ribosomal RNA", at positions 57 to 305 of the family's 1533-position model. The record is from RNAcentral.